GACGAACGCUGGCGGCGUGCUUAACACAUGCAAGUCGAACGGAAAGGCCCUGCUUUUGUGGGGUGCUCGAGUGGCGAACGGGUGAGUAACACGUGAGUAACCUGCCCUUGACUUUGGGAUAACUUCAGGAAACUGGGGCUAAUACCGGAUAGGAGCUCCUGCUGCAUGGUGGGGGUUGGAAAGUGUCGGCGGUUGGGGAUGGACUCGCGGCUUAUCAGCUUGUUGGUGGGGUAGUGGCUUACCAAGGCUUUGACGGGUAGCCGGCCUGAGAGGGUGACCGGCCACAUUGGGACUGCGGUACGGCCCAGACGCCUACGGGAGGCAGCAGUGGGGAAUAUUGCACAAUGGGCGGAAGCCUGAUGCAGCAACGCCGCGUGCGGGAUGACGGCCUUCGGGUUGUAAACCGCUUUCGCCUGUGACGAAGCGUGAGUGACGGUAAUGGGUAAAGAAGCACCGGCUAACUACGUG
This 468-nucleotide ribosomal RNA is filed under the name uncultured bacterium. RNAcentral describes it as "partial 16S ribosomal RNA". It matches the Rfam family "Bacterial small subunit ribosomal RNA", at positions 28 to 507 of the family's 1533-position model. The record is from RNAcentral.